UUGGUGAUUUUGGGGAUUCUGAAGUUGAAGGGAACAUUCUUUCUUCUCGAGUUUGGCAGAAAAUAUUUCAGAACGUCAAAUGGAAGCAAGAGUGAUUCAUUCAGAGAUAGGUCCAAAAAAGUUAAAGGAAGCAAAGACCCUGCAGAGAUGGUGAAAUUCAGCAAGCCAUAAUGAAGUUCAUGGGAGAUCAUCCUCUCAGGGGCCAGUCGGAGCAGUUUGUGGUUUGCACCUUCCUGAAGUUAACGGGUGAAUAUGGACUGAUGAAGGAUGAGGCAUACUGUCAAGUCCUCAAACAGAUUACAGCCAAUGCCA
This is a long non-coding RNA of Sinocyclocheilus grahami, 312 nucleotides long. RefSeq lists it as uncharacterized. The transcript is spliced from 4 exons. Lineage: Eukaryota; Metazoa; Chordata; Actinopteri; Cypriniformes; Cyprinidae. The record is from RefSeq and is a predicted model, not a curated record.